UACGAGGGGGGCUAGCGUUGCUCGGAAUCACUGGGCGUAAAGCGCACGUAGGCGGAUUGUUAAGUCAGGGGUGAAAUCCUGGAGCUCAACUCCAGAACUGCCUUUGAUACUGGCGAUCUUGAGUCCGGGAGAGGUGAGUGGAACUGCGAGUGUAGAGGUGAAAUUCGUAGAUAUUCGCAAGAACACCAGUGGCGAAGGCGGCUCACUGGCCCGGUACUGACGCUGAGGUGCGAAAGCGUGGGGAGCAAACAGG
Molecule: ribosomal RNA, 253 nt
Filed under: uncultured bacterium
Lineage: Bacteria
Description: partial 16S ribosomal RNA
Rfam family: Bacterial small subunit ribosomal RNA
Source: RNAcentral